This is a long non-coding RNA of Sebastes umbrosus (honeycomb rockfish), 689 nucleotides long. RefSeq lists it as uncharacterized. The record is from RefSeq and is a predicted model, not a curated record. NCBI's taxonomy places the organism in Eukaryota, Metazoa, Chordata, Actinopteri, Perciformes, Sebastidae. The transcript has 7 exons.
CCUCCGGUCCUCCAGGCGGCAGUGAAGCCUCCAUAGAGCCGGUUAACAUCCGUCAGGACUCAUAGACAAGCAGCAGGAGCUCCAACAGAAGACUCACUUCCACCGAGGACUCUCUGAGCUGAGAGCUGAACCAGCUGCUGUCAGACCUCUGAAGGGUUCCGACAGCCACCGGGGGAAACUGACCUCCCGCUGCGUCACGAUGGACGAUACGACGUAUUCCUCAAGAGCAAGAAGCAGACAUGCAUCGGCUCCACUGCACCUGGGGACAGGGUGACGGUCUCGGCGGUGGUGACGGCGCGGCCGCCGUGUGCAUCAGUGUUGAAUCAGCAAAGCUGGUGAUGAUCAGAAGAGCUGGUGAUGAUCAGCAGAGCUGUGAAACUGGCUGGACGUGAAGGGAACGUCUGGAACCUGGAGUCUUUUGAAGGCCAUAAAGUACAGUAGGGUGGCGGUGUCUGCUGGUCGUGUUUUCUCCGUCUGGUCAACGGUGGUGAUUUUGUUUUGCCUGGGUGGCGGUGGCGGCUGGUCGUGUUCUCUCCCUCCAGUCACCGGUGGUGGUGAUUGUUGCCUGGUCGACCGUGAACCAGCAGCUGCUCUGCCGUCGUCUUCUCGUCACCGAGGACUUCUCACAUCAUCACAAGUUGUUGUUGUUGUUUACAAAGAAAUAAAAACAUCCAGCUGUUAAUAAUGAA